AUACGGAGGGUGCAAGCGUUGUCCGGAUUUAUUGGGUUUAAAGGGUGCGUAGGCGGGCGUAUAAGUCAGUGGUGAAAGACUCCAGCUUAACUGGGGAAGUGCCAUUGAAACUGUAUGUCUUGAGUAAAGUCGAGGUAGGCGGAAUUGAUGGUGUAGCGGUGAAAUGCAUAGCUAUCAUCAAGAACACCGAUAGCGUAGGCAGCUUACUUGGCUUUAACUGACGCUGAGGCACGAAAGCGUGGGGAGCGAACAGGAUUAGAUACCCCAGUAGUCC
RNAcentral lists this ribosomal RNA (274 nucleotides) under uncultured bacterium. Its description in RNAcentral is "partial 16S ribosomal RNA". It matches the Rfam family "Bacterial small subunit ribosomal RNA", at positions 523 to 796 of the family's 1533-position model. The record is from RNAcentral.